RNAcentral lists this non-coding RNA (473 nucleotides) under Chlorocebus sabaeus (green monkey). Its description in RNAcentral is "Eukaryotic large subunit ribosomal RNA". It matches the Rfam family "Eukaryotic large subunit ribosomal RNA", at positions 3006 to 3399 of the family's 3401-position model. Lineage: Eukaryota; Metazoa; Chordata; Mammalia; Primates; Cercopithecidae. The record is from Rfam by way of RNAcentral.
UGUUGUUGCCAUGGUAAUCCUGCUCAGUACGAGAGGAACCGCAGGUUCAGACAUUUGGUGUAUGUGCUUGGCUGAGGAGCCAAUGGGGCGAAGCUACCAUCUGUGGGAUUAUGACUGAACGCCUCUAAGUCAGAAUCCCGCCCAGGUGGAACGAUAGGGCAGCGCCGCGGAGCCUCGGUUGGCCUCGGAUAGCCGGUCCCCCGCCUGUCCCCGCCAGCGGGCCGUCUCGCUCAGCACGGGGUGUGCCCCACCGCAUGCCGGGUCCGGGGUCCGGUGCGGAGUGCCCUUCGUCCUGGGAAACGGGGUGUGGCCGGAAAGGCGGUCGCCCCCUCGCCCGUCAUGCAGCGCACAUUCGUGGGGAACCUGGCGCUAAACCAUUCGUAGACGACCUGCUUCUGGGUCGGGGUUUCGUACGUAGCAGAGCAGCUCCCUCGCUGCGAUCUAUUGAAAGUCAGCCCUCGACACAAGGGUUU